RNAcentral lists this ribosomal RNA (413 nucleotides) under Salmonella enterica subsp. enterica serovar Kentucky. RNAcentral's name for it is "bacterial SSU rRNA". It matches the Rfam family "Bacterial small subunit ribosomal RNA", at positions 1 to 410 of the family's 1533-position model. Lineage: Bacteria; Pseudomonadati; Pseudomonadota; Gammaproteobacteria; Enterobacterales; Enterobacteriaceae. The record is from RNAcentral.
AAAUUGAAGAGUUUGAUCAUGGCUCAGAUUGAACGCUGGCGGCAGGCCUAACACAUGCAAGUCGAACGGUAACAGGAAGCAGCUUGCUGCUUUGCUGACGAGUGGCGGACGGGUGAGUAAUGUCUGGGAAACUGCCUGAUGGAGGGGGAUAACUACUGGAAACGGUGGCUAAUACCGCAUAACGUCGCAAGACCAAAGAGGGGGACCUUCGGGCCUCUUGCCAUCAGAUGUGCCCAGAUGGGAUUAGCUUGUUGGUGAGGUAACGGCUCACCAAGGCGACGAUCCCUAGCUGGUCUGAGAGGAUGACUAGCCACACUGGAACUGAGACACGGUCCAGACUCCUACGGGAGGCAGCAGUGGGGAAUAUUGCACAAUGGGCGCAAGCCUGAUGCAGCCAUGCCGCGUGUAUGAAG